GGCAUUGAUCUUUUUAUGUACUGAUUCACGAGGACUUAAGCCUAUGAUGCAGUUGUUUUCCCAGUCUUGGGAGCUGGCAGAUGCCAUUACCCAGGUCAGGAGAUAGAACCUUGCCAGCUAUACCCUGAAGCUGUUCAAGUCUUUCUCCCAAUUACAGUCUUCAUAAGCAAGUAGAUGCUUUUUAUUGAGCUCUGUGAGGUAGGAUCCCAGAUCAUCCAAGUAGGAGGGGGAAGGUGAAUGGGUAGGGUUUUUGAGAAAAAGAACAUUAUUGUGAAAAAUGAGAGGAAAAACUGACAAGGAAACAAGUGCUGAGUGGCAGCGAGGGUCCAGUUAAGGCUGGAAACUGUGAAUUUACAGCAGCAGCGUUCUGUCUAGUUGUGGGAUUUUCCUCUAGGAAUACGGUUAUAGGAACCAAGAUGCUGGCUAUUUGGAAGGGUCCAGAAUCGCCUGGUAAGACACAACAGUGGGGCAAGGGAUCUAAGCCUGUGGGCUGGGCAGAGUUUGCUGUGCUACGCUAGGGUUCUGGUCUGAGAAGGGAAUGGAAGGGUGGAGUUCUGAUAGGGAGAAAACUGUCAAGGGCUUUUUGAAAGUGAAGACGUGGGAGGAAGUGACCAGGAGGCUGGGAGCGUGUGGUAAAAGAGUAGGAUGUUCAAUUGUAAGAAAGAUUUAGAGGUGGAAAAGUUUUGGAUUGUGUCAAGAUUGUGAGUGUGGCCUGGAAAAGGGUGGCUAAUUUGAGUUCUAUUGCCUUUGUACCUCUGAUGCAUUUAGGUGACAAUAAACAUUUCUCAUCUCAAUAUUACUCUAUUAUUAACAAACAAACAGCCAAAAGAGAAAAAAAAAAUCAAGUAGUAAGCAGAGUGUUUAUUUUUUUUAAAAUUACUUAAAAAAGGUUGUUUACAGAGAUGUGGAUUUAUAUAACUUGGUGACAACAUUUUUAAAAUGUACAGGCUAUUUCAUAUUAUUGCACUUACUCUUUAAUAUAUAAGGCAUUUUACUUUACAUAAAUAAAGGUUAAUGUAUAAUAUCAUACAAAGUUAUGGUGCCAAUUAAGUCAACCAUCAAAUUCAAUGAGAUGUGUGGGAAGAUGGAAAUGAAACCCAGCCUACUUUAAUCUUCAUGGUAUAUUCUUGCAACUACGGUUUACUUGUUAUAACACAUAUUUAUUUACCCUCAUAGCUUAUUGUGAAUGACUGACCAGUUAAAAAAAAAGAAACAAUGACAGUUUUAGUAGGACAAUACCAUUAGUGUUCACUUCAGAAAGUGUGGGAAUUUAUUAGGCUAAUUAGAAAUACUAGUCAUGCCUUGAACACUGAAGACAAAUAAAUAGCUUUCUAUCUAUCUUAGGGUCAAAGACAGUUUAGCUUUUGCUUCUUCCCUUAAAUUUCAACUGUUUGUUGGCGAGGGAAACCUUCUGGCAAGAUGUAGUAGCAGUGGCUGAUGACUUUAGCAUAGUGUAUGUGGUAAGCCAGAGGUCUACCCUUGUACUCCAGAUAUGAGGAUUAAAAAGACUUGCGGAAGGAGACCAUUCCAUUUGCUCCACAUUGCACAAGAAAUUCCUGUCUGUUCACAUAGGGCUGUGCGAGGCACAGCUGUAAGAGUGGAGGCGAAAAGCAGUUUUCAGUGUUGUUGACUUGAAAUAGUCUUUGAUUUAGGCAAGAAAGCAGAAACCACAAAACUGACCCCAGAGACUGAAAAACAAUCAAUCAAUAUCUAUCAAUCAAGCAUGCACCUUGCACUGACUUCCUACAGUAUUCUACCUGUAACUGUAGUGAAAAGUAGAAGUAAAAUCAAUAAGACCUUUCUAACUAACUCCUGUACCAUAUUUUCCUUUGUAUUGCCAGUUGAUGAGAAAUCUGGACUCAGACAAGCCAGCUAUUUCUCUCUCAUCUGAAGGACCUCUCUAGGCCGACUUCAAAGAUGUUUAGUGGGAUUGGUCAUUCAGAAAAAUGAUGAUGUACAAAGCUGAUGGCUAAAGCCCCUCCAUGAAUCUGGGGGUCACAGCCAUAGACCCAAGCUGUAGGUUAUUUAAAGAAGUAUCUCCAACAUAAAAUCUUAGUGUCAUGCACACAGGUAUGGCAAAUGCACUCUCCACUCAUGUUGUCAGGGCUCAACGGGUUGGUUUGUGCCACUGAAGACGACCUGGCUUGUAACUACAUUUCUGCUCCUUUACCUUGACUCACCCUGUUUCUCCUCCUCUUUAUGACCCGAUGAGAGUUUGGAAUUAUUUACCUAAGAAAAUAAGGUACAUCAUGAGGAGAGAAAAGCCAGCUAUGUGACGACGAACGGAAUAUCCAAUCGGAAUAGCUACUGGGAAGCAGCUCAUGCCACCAGAGGAGGAGUGGCCAGAGGGUUGUUAGAAGGACUGAAUGAGAUGAAGUAGAGGAAAGUCUUCUAGGACAGGGGUCCUCAACCCUUGGGCCACAGACUGGUGGCAGGAGGGCUGCACAGCAGAUGGGAUGCCUGGUUGCAAGAAAACAAGCUCAGGGCUCCCACAGAUUCUACGUGAUUCCUUUAGGAAACAUUCAGUGUUGUACAAAGCAGAGGUGCAGUUUUCACAGAUUUGUGGCCAGAUGCUAGAGACAAAGGCUGAGAAGUUGUCCAGGACGUCAUAUUCUUGCUUUGCUGGAGGCAGAUCUGAAGGAUGUCAUCUCUCCUGUGGCUUCUUCUAGUGUGGGGUCCCGAAGCCUGGCUUCCCCAGCCGAUGUGCUGCUUUAGUCAGCGUCUGCCCUGGUCCUUCGGUUCGCAGGCUCACACGCUUUUUUGGGUUGUGUCCCUUUGGACUGCAGAGGCUACGUGUCCUGUGACCAACCACGAAGGCGGCCACUCCCGCUCCCCUCAGGAGUGUCUUAAAAUACCUCCAUUUUAGCUACCCUAUUGAAUGACAGGUUAGCUGGGUGCUGGGUUUUCAGGUGAUGGACAUUUUCCCUCAGUCCUCUGAAGGUGUUGCUGGCUUCAGGCAUUGAUGCCGCCACUCUGAUUGUUGUAUGCAGUGAGCAAACUAGAAUUUUCUCUUGGCUUUCUAGAUUUUCUUCUUUAUAUUCUGAAACUUUAUU
This 3053-nucleotide long non-coding RNA is filed under the name Homo sapiens (human). RNAcentral's name for it is "long non-coding RNA NONHSAT204009.1". The record is from RNAcentral. Lineage: Eukaryota; Metazoa; Chordata; Mammalia; Primates; Hominidae.